AAGUCGUAACAAGGUCUCCGUUGGUGAACCAGCGGAGGGAUCAUUAAAGAGUUUAUAAAACUCCUAAACCCAUGUGAACUUACCAUUGUUGCCUCGGCGGGGAAACCUACCCUGUAGCGAGCUACCCGCCGGUGGACCACUAAACUAUUGUUAAUGAUGAAAUCUGAGCGUCUUAUUUUAAUAAGUUAAAACUUUCAACAACGGAUCUCUUGGUUCUG
Molecule: unclassified non-coding RNA, 218 nt
Filed under: fungal sp.
Lineage: Eukaryota; Fungi
Description: partial internal transcribed spacer region
Rfam family: Eukaryotic small subunit ribosomal RNA (bases 1-46)
Source: RNAcentral